UACGGAGGGUGCAAGCGUUGUCCGGAUUUAUUGGGUUUAAAGGGUGCGUAGGCGGCCCAUUAAGUCAGUGGUGAAAGCCCACUGCUCAACAGUGGAAGUGCCAUUGAUACUGGUCGGCUUGAGUACAGACGAGGGUGGCGGAAUGGAUGGUGUAGCGGUGAAAUGCAUAGAUACCAUCAAGAACACCGAUUGCGAAGGCAGCUUCCUAGACUUUAACUGACGCUGAGGCACGAAAGCGUGGGGAGCAAAC
RNAcentral lists this ribosomal RNA (250 nucleotides) under uncultured Cytophagia bacterium. RNAcentral's name for it is "partial 16S ribosomal RNA". It matches the Rfam family "Bacterial small subunit ribosomal RNA", at positions 524 to 773 of the family's 1533-position model. Lineage: Bacteria; Pseudomonadati; Bacteroidota; Cytophagia. The record is from RNAcentral.